CCCGCUCAGAAACUUAAAGGAAUUGACGGGGGGCCCGCACAAAGCGGAGGAACAUGUGGUUUAAUUCGAUGAUACGCGAGGAACCUUACCUGGGCUAGAACGCAUUCGGAAUCAGGCCGAAAGGCCUGCGCCAGCGAUGGCCGCUUGCGAGGUGCUGCAUGGUUGUCGUCAGCUCGUGCCGUGAGGUGUCGGGGUUAAGUCCCAUAACGAGCGCAACCCCUACUGCUAGUUGCCAGCGGGUCAUGCCGGGGACUCUAGCGGAACUGCCAGCGUAAGCUGCGAGGAAGGUGGGGAUGACGUCAAAUCAGCACGGCCCUUACGUCCAGGGCUACACACGUGUUACAAUGGCCGGUACAGAGGGCAGCCACCCCGCGAGGGGGCGCGAAUCCCGAAAGCCGGUCCCAGUUCGGAUCGGAGUCUGCAACCCGACUCCGUGAAGCUGGAUUCGCUAGUAAUCGCGCAUCAGCCACGGCGCGGUGAAUACGUUCCCGGGCCUU
This 497-nucleotide ribosomal RNA is filed under the name uncultured Rikenellaceae bacterium. RNAcentral describes it as "bacterial SSU rRNA". It matches the Rfam family "Bacterial small subunit ribosomal RNA", at positions 888 to 1382 of the family's 1533-position model. Lineage: Bacteria; Pseudomonadati; Bacteroidota; Bacteroidia; Bacteroidales; Rikenellaceae. The record is from RNAcentral.